GUUAAGGUGGCAGAGCCCGGUAAUUGCGUAAAAUUUAAACCUUUAUACUCAGAGAUUCAAAUCCUCUCCUUAACA
RNAcentral lists this transfer RNA (75 nucleotides) under Capra hircus (goat). Its description in RNAcentral is "tRNA-Leu". It matches the Rfam family "tRNA". Rfam says of the family: Transfer RNA (tRNA) molecules are approximately 80 nucleotides in length. Their secondary structure includes four short double-helical elements and three loops (D, anti-codon, and T loops). Lineage: Eukaryota; Metazoa; Chordata; Mammalia; Artiodactyla; Bovidae. The record is from RNAcentral.